Molecule: ribosomal RNA, 328 nt
Filed under: uncultured eukaryote
Lineage: Eukaryota
Description: partial 18S ribosomal RNA
Rfam family: Eukaryotic small subunit ribosomal RNA
Source: RNAcentral
CCCUUAGACGUUCUGGGCCGCACGCGCGCUACACUGACCAGUGCAACAAGCAUCCGUCCUUGGCCGACAGGCCCGGGCAAUCUUUGAACGCUGGUCGUGAUGGGGAUAGACUUUUGCAAUUUUUGGUCUUCAACGAGGAAUUCCUAGUAAACGCAAGUCAUCAACUUGCAUUGAUUACGUCCCUGCCCUUUGUACACACCGCCCGUCGCUCCUACCGAUUGAAUGGUCCGGUGAAGCGUUCGGACCGUGGCCUUUGGACGGUUCGCCGUCUGUUGGCUGCGGGAAGUUCGUUAAACCUUAUCAUUUAGAGGAAGGAGAAGUCGUANCA